UGGUGGAGUGAUUUGUCUGGUUAAUUCCGAUAACGAACGAGACCUUAACCUGCUAAAUAGUCACGCCCAGUUUUACUGGGUGUAUCGACUUCUUAGAGGGACUAUUGAUGACUAAUCAAUGGAAGUUUGAGGCAAUAACA
This 140-nucleotide ribosomal RNA is filed under the name uncultured eukaryote. RNAcentral describes it as "partial 18S ribosomal RNA". It matches the Rfam family "Eukaryotic small subunit ribosomal RNA", at positions 1299 to 1458 of the family's 1831-position model. The record is from RNAcentral.